UAGGGAAUCUUCGGCAAUGGGGGGAACCCUGACCGAGCAACGCCGCGUGAGUGAAGAAGGUUUUCGGAUCGUAAAGCUCUGUUGUAAAGGAAGAACGAGUGUGAGAAUGGAAAGUUCAUACUGUGACGGUACUUAACCAGAAAGGGACGGCUAACUACGUGCCAGCAGCCGCGGUAAUACGUAGGUCCCGAGCGUUGUCCGGAUUUAUUGGGCGUAAAGCGAGCGCAGGCGGUUAGAUAAGUCUGAAGUUAAAGGCAGUGGCUCAACCAUUGUAGGCUUUGGAAACUGUUUAACUUGAGUGCAGAAGGGGAGAGUGGAAUUCCAUGUGUAGCGGUGAAAUGCGUAGAUAUAUGGAGGAACACCGGUGGCGAAAGCGGCUCUCUGGUCUGUAACUGACGCUGAGGCUCGAAAGCGUGGGGAGCGAACAGG
Molecule: ribosomal RNA, 429 nt
Filed under: Bacteroidota bacterium
Lineage: Bacteria; Pseudomonadati; Bacteroidota
Description: Bacteroidetes bacterium partial 16S ribosomal RNA
Rfam family: Bacterial small subunit ribosomal RNA
Source: RNAcentral